RNAcentral lists this long non-coding RNA (1549 nucleotides) under Physcomitrium patens. RNAcentral describes it as "long non-coding RNA (PPAT_LNC011822)". Lineage: Eukaryota; Viridiplantae; Streptophyta; Bryopsida; Funariales; Funariaceae. The record is from RNAcentral.
CUAGUAAUUAUUAAGAACAUGAAUCUCAAAGAAAGAAAAUCCUUAAUACACUCUUGUAUUAUUGAAAGGAAAUACAAAGUCACUCAAAGAUAAUAUAAUAUUAAACUAGAAUAUCUGUUGCCAAAAACAAAAAGACUAGAAAGUCUUGAAACAAGAUUAAGGACUAGAAAGGCAUUGAUAAGAGUGAAGAAGGCUUCACUCUUGCCUCCAUAUAUACUCUCUAAGUAGAAGCUAUGUGGCAAUAUUCUAUUGGACAUCUAUAGUAUUGUUUUAUUUAUUCUAGACUAAUCUAAUCAAAAUAAACCUGUAUAGGUGGAUUCAAACAUAAAAAAAGACUAUUUACAUGAGAUAAACUUGCUAAGAUCACAUAAUUAACUAUUUCUAAUUGGCUAAAUUCAAUGGGCCCAUAAAACACUCCAAAAUGACUUUAAUUUCUAUAACUACCCAUAGAUUCUUCUUCACGGUCAAAUGUAAACGUUUGUAAUAUUUUCUCUCAUAAAUCUCUUAUUUUACUCACUUGAAUUUUUUCAAUCUCAUAACAUCAUUAUGUAAUACUGCAUUGUCUUAAUAGACUAUAUACAUACAUUCAAUAUUCUAAUUAUUGGAAAUAAAUCUUCACUAAGAAUACAUUUCAAAAUUAAUCAUUUCUUCUAUAUUCUCUUUUACACAUCUAAUUCUAUUCAUUUCUUACAAAUUUCUUUCACUAUUCAACUAUUAUAGCCAAUAUGGCACAAUAUCAUCACUUGUAGUUGAACUACAUCCAUAUCUUCAAUCACUAGCUUCUAAUCCACCAAAUAUAAUUCAAUAAUCAACAAAUUUAGUUUCUUAUUCAAUAAUAUAUAAAUCCAAUUUUUAUUUCAUUACAACACUCUUUAUUUACAUUAUUCAACAAUUAGAAUGGAUCACAAUCUAUCAACUCUAGUGUUAUCACAAAAAAAUAAAUAAAUAAAUAAAAUAAAAUAAGAGGUAGCUCCAAGCUUAUUUCUAACUCUAGACUCUUAUAGUCUUCGCUCCUUCUGUUUCUUCUUCAACAAAUUUAUACUUAUUCUUAAAUACCAAAUAUUACAAAUCUAAUGUUAAUUACUUUUUCUUCUUAAUUAUCUAUUAUAUUCUCUAAAUUAUUCAUUCUUCAAUUUAUUGGCUUUCUUUAAUCCUACAUAUAAUGUAUUAUAAGACAUAAAGAUCCUAUCCAUUCUAUAUAGUCCGGCUCUUAACUAUGCAAUGUCUUUGCAAAUGUAAAAUUGGUAAAAAAAAAUCUUUUUAAUUAAUCCUUAAAUUUUUUUUUUAUCAAUUCUAACAUUCACCAAAGGUAGUUCCACUAAUUUUGGCUCUAAUGAUAAGUCUUCAUCCUCCUCUCAUACUUCAAUUGGCUCUUUCUUCAAUUGGAUUAAUAAUUCCUCAUUGUAUACUCCCAAUUCAUGAACUUUGGCCUCCAAUUGUAGAAUCCUAACAUCCUUUGCUCCCAAUUGGUAUUGCUAUUGCCUCAACUUUUCCUCCAAUUCAUCAAUUGUUGAAAUUAGUAAGGCAGACAUUUGUGACCAACCAAUAC